AAAGAAACCAACAGGGAUUGCCCUAGUAACGGCGAGUGAAGCGGCAACAGCUCAAAUUUGAAAUCUGGCCCUCGGGUCCGAGUUGUAAUUUGUAGAGGAUGCUUUUGGUGAGGUACCUUCCGAGUUCCCUGGAACGGGACGCCAUAGAGGGUGAGAGCCCCGUCUGGUUGGAUACCAAACCUCUGUAAAGCUCCUUCGACGAGUCGAGUAGUUUGGGAAUGCUGCUCUAAAUGGGAGGUAUAUGUCUUCUAAAGCUAAAUACCGGCCAGAGACCGAUAGCGCACAAGUAGAGUGAUCGAAAGAUGAAAAGCACUUUGAAAAGAGAGUUAAAAAGUACGUGAAAUUGUUGAAAGGGAAGCGCUUAUGACCAGACUUGGACUUGGUUGAUCAUCCUGGGUUCUCCCUGGUGCACUCUUCCAGUUCAGGCCAGCAUCAGUUCGCUGCGGGGGAUAAAAGUUUUGGGAAUGUGGCUCCCUCGGGAGUGUUAUAGCCCAUUUCAUAAUACCCUGCUCCGGACUGAGGUUCGCGCAUCUGCAAGGAUGCUGGCGUAAUGGUCAUCAGCGACCCGUCUUGAAACACGGACCAAGGAGUCGUCUUCGUAUGCGAGUGUUCGGGUGUUAAACCCCUACGCGUAAUGAAAGUGAACGCAGGUGAGAGCUUCGGCGCAUCAUCGACCGAUCCUGAUGUUCUCGGAUGGAUUUGAGUAAGAGCAUACGGGGCCGGACCCGAAAGAUGGUGAACUAUGCCUGUAUAGGGUGAAGCCAGAGGAAACUCUGGUGGAGGCUCGCAGCGGUUCUGACGUGCAAAUCGAUCGUCAAAUAUGGGCAUGGGGCGAAAGACUAAUCGUAUCUUCUAGUAGCUGGUUUCCGCCGAAGUUUCCCUCAGGA
Molecule: ribosomal RNA, 887 nt
Filed under: Calonectria mexicana
Lineage: Eukaryota; Fungi; Ascomycota; Sordariomycetes; Hypocreales; Nectriaceae
Description: eukaryotic LSU rRNA
Rfam family: Eukaryotic large subunit ribosomal RNA
Source: RNAcentral